This 277-nucleotide ribosomal RNA is filed under the name uncultured bacterium. Its description in RNAcentral is "partial 16S ribosomal RNA". It matches the Rfam family "Bacterial small subunit ribosomal RNA", at positions 1055 to 1334 of the family's 1533-position model. The record is from RNAcentral.
UCAGCUCGUGUCGUGAGAUGUUGGGUUAAGUCCCGCAACGAGCGCAACCCUCGUCUUUAGUUGCCAUCAUUUAGUUGGGCACUCUAAAGAAACCGCCGGUGAUAAGCCGGAGGAAGGUGGGGAUGACGUCAAGUCCUCAUGGCCCUUACGCGCUGGGCUACACACGUGCUACAAUGGCGGUGACAGUGGGCAGCAAACCCGCGAGGGUGAGCUAAUCUCCAAAAACCGUCUCAGUUCGGAUCGUUCUCUGCAACUCGAGAGCGUGAAGGCGGAAUCG